This 468-nucleotide ribosomal RNA is filed under the name uncultured bacterium. RNAcentral describes it as "partial 16S ribosomal RNA". It matches the Rfam family "Bacterial small subunit ribosomal RNA", at positions 28 to 507 of the family's 1533-position model. The record is from RNAcentral.
GACGAACGCUGGCGGCGUGCUUAACACAUGCAAGUCGAACGGAAAGGCCCUGCUUUUGUGGGGUGCUCGAGUGGCGAACGGGUGAGUAACACGUGAGUAACCUGCCCUUGACUUUGGGAUAACUUCAGGAAACUGGGGCUAAUACCGGAUAGGAGCUCCUGCUGCAUGGUGGGGGUUGGAAAGUUUCGGCGGUUGGGGAUGGACUCGCGGCUUAUCAGCUUGUUGGUGGGGUAGUGGCUUACCAAGGCUUUGACGGGUAGCCGGCCUGAGAGGGUGACCGGCCACAUUAGGACUGAGAUACGGCCCAGACGCCUACGGGAGGCAGCAGUGGGGAAUAUUGCACAAUGGGCGGAAGCCUGAUGCAGCAACGCCGCGUGCGGGAUGACGGCCUUCGGGUUGUAAACCGCUUUCGCCUGUGACGAAGCGUGAGUGACGGUAAUGGGUAAAGAAGCACCGGCUAACUACGUG